RNAcentral lists this transfer RNA (73 nucleotides) under Danionella translucida. It matches the Rfam family "tRNA". Rfam says of the family: Transfer RNA (tRNA) molecules are approximately 80 nucleotides in length. Their secondary structure includes four short double-helical elements and three loops (D, anti-codon, and T loops). RNAcentral also lists the same sequence under 1 other name. The record is from Rfam by way of RNAcentral. Lineage: Eukaryota; Metazoa; Chordata; Actinopteri; Cypriniformes; Danionidae.
GACUACAUAGCUCAGUGGUAAGAGCACUGAUUUUGUAAACCAGGGGUCGUGAGUUCAAAUCUCAUUGGAGCCU